This 427-nucleotide ribosomal RNA is filed under the name uncultured bacterium. RNAcentral describes it as "bacterial SSU rRNA". It matches the Rfam family "Bacterial small subunit ribosomal RNA", at positions 355 to 774 of the family's 1533-position model. The record is from RNAcentral.
UGGGGAAUUUUGGACAAUGGGCGCAAGCCUGAUCCAGCAAUGCCGCGUGCAGGAUGAAGGCCUUCGGGUUGUAAACUGCUUUUGUACGGAGCGAAAAGGUCUGCCCUAAUACGGUGGGCUCAUGACGGUAACAGGAGAAGAAGCCCCGGCUAACUCCGUGCCAGCAGCCGCGGUAAGACGGAGGGGGCUAGCGUUGUUCGGAAUUACUGGGCGUAAAGCGUGCGCAGGCGGUUAUAUAAGACAGAUGUGAAAUCCCCGGGCUCAACCUGGGACCUGCAUUUGUGACUGUAUAGCUAGAGUACGGUAGAGGGGGAUGGAAUUCCGCGUGUAGCAGUGAAAUGCGUAGAUAUGCGGAGGAACACCGAUGGCGAAGGCAAUCCCCUGGACCUGUACUGACGCUCAUGCACGAAAGCGUGGGGAGCAUACA